AACGAACGCUGGCGGCAUGCCUAACACAUGCAAGUCGAACGAGACCUUCGGGUCUAGUGGCGCACGGGUUCGUAACGCGUGGGAACCUGCCCUUAGGUUCGGAAUAACUCCCCGAAAGGGGUGCUAAUACCGGAUAAUGUCUUCGGACCAAAGAUUUAUCGCCUUUGGAUGGGCCCGCGUUGGAUUAGCUAGUUGUUAGGGUAAAAGCCUACCAAGGCGACGAUCCAUAGCUGGUCUGAGAGGAUGAUCAGCCACACUGGGACUGAGACACGGCCCAGACUCCUACGGGAGGCAGGAGUGGGGAAUAUUGGAACAUGGGCGAAAGCAUGAACCAGCAAUGCCGCGUGAGUGAUGAAGGCAUUAGGGUUGUAAAGCUCUUUUAACCGGGAUGAUAAUGACAGUACCGGGAGAAUAAGCCCCGGCUAACUCCGUG
RNAcentral lists this ribosomal RNA (433 nucleotides) under uncultured bacterium. RNAcentral describes it as "partial 16S ribosomal RNA". It matches the Rfam family "Bacterial small subunit ribosomal RNA", at positions 29 to 507 of the family's 1533-position model. The record is from RNAcentral.